ACAAAAAGGAACCCAAUAAAUUAAAAAACACUGUAACAAGUGAAAUGUGCCUUUGAUGAGCUUAUCAGACCGGACAUGGCUGAGAAUCAGUGAACUUGAGGAUAUGUUAACAGAAACCUCCAAAACUCACCUUUUCAUUUAUUUGCUGCCAUAGUCUCUCAGUGAUCUGAGCAGUUAAACAUGAGGGAUAAAAUAAUAUUGAGCCAUUGUAAAUUGAGGUGAAGUAACUUUUAUCUCUUCUACAUGGUCUAGACAUUGUUUUUGUAAGAAAAAGAAAGAAAGAAACUUCUGAAACUCAAAGACAAAGAAAAAAGCCUGAAACAGAAAAAAUACUCAAGCACUGUAGGACAACUACAAAAGGUGCAUCAUAUAUUUCGGAAAACAGAAGAAGAAAGCGGGAAGAGGACAGAAGAAAUAUUCGAAACAAUGAUGAGAGUCUCUCAAUAUAAUAUCAGACACCAAACAAUGGAUUCCGGAAGCUCAGAGGACACCAAGUAAGAGAGACGUCCCCAAAAUCUACACCUAGGCCUCUUAGAUCCACACUCACAAAUUCAAAGUUAAAGAGAAAAAUCCCAAAAGAAGCCAGAGGAAGGAAACACCAUGUGUAGCCAGAAGAAGAAUUAAAUCAGAAUUCUUGGAAACCCGAGCAGUGAAAAGAGAGCAGAGUGAAAUAUUUAAAGUGUAAAGAGAAAAAAUAAAUAAAUAAACCCCAUCAACCUAGAAUUCUGUAUUUUGUGAAUGGAUCCUUCUGAUGAAAUGAGAUGAAACGAGAACUUACACAGACAAACAAAAAAUUGAGUCCUGGGGCAGGAGAGCUACUUUGCACGAAGUGUUUAAAACAAAACAACAACAACAACAACAAAACUUGCAGGGGAAGAAGCUUCAUGCAGGCCAGAGGCUGAGACGAUAUAAACUAGGUAAGAGCAUUAGAGAAGGAGCUACGGCAAAAUCAAAACUUUUUUUUAUUGUAUAUCGUCUGGGGAUCAAACCUGGAGCUUCACACAUGCUAAGCACACAUCUACCAUCUUGGGCCCUAUUUUUCAUAUUCUGACCACAGCCACAUAUUGAGUGAUUGCAGUCAGUGGAUAAGUGAGAUGAAAGGCCCAGGGCAGCAGGGAGGGAGUCAGGCUACUCGGGUUAUUGUGUUCUCACGGCCCAGGAGGUGGCACCGUAUUUAUUUGAGUGGACUCUAACUUGUCAAAAUUUGUCAUAGACAGUGAACUCAGUGAUUGAAGGAAAUUCAUAGCACGGACUGCAUUUAUUAGAAAAGAAGGAAGAUCUAAAAUCAAUAGUCUAAGCUUUCACCUUAGAAAACUAGAAAGAGCAAAUUGAAUCCCAAGUAAGCAGAAGAAAACAAAUAAUGAAAAAUAGAGCAGAAAUCAAUGACAUGAAAAACAGGGAAGCAAGAGGGAAAAUCCAUAAAACCUGAAGCUGCUUCUUGAAGACGUCAUUAUAACUGAUAAGUCUCUAGCCCAAGCCAGGCGUGGUGGAGCACACCUGAAUCAACUCAGGAGACUGAGGCAGGAGGAUGGCAAGUUCAAAGCCAGUCUCAGCAAUUUAGUGAGGCCCUAAGCAACUCAGUGAGACAUUGUCUCAAGAUAAAACAGAAAAAGGCUGUGGACGUGACUCAGAGGUUAAACACUCCUGGGUUCAUUCCCUAGCACCAGGAAAAAGAAAAAAGUCUGUAGCCCAGCUGUGAAAAAAAAAGGCAUGAAUUACUAAUGUCAGAAAAGCAGGGGCUGGGGAUGUGUCUCAAGCGGUAGUGCGCUCGCCUGGCAUGCGGGUGGCCUGGUUUCGAU
Molecule: long non-coding RNA, 1799 nt
Filed under: Marmota monax (woodchuck)
Lineage: Eukaryota; Metazoa; Chordata; Mammalia; Rodentia; Sciuridae
Rfam family: Small nucleolar RNA SNORA20 (bases 131-258)
Source: RNAcentral